CGGCGGACUUUGGCGGGACUGCCGGCGAAUAGCUGGAGGAAGGAGGGGAUGAUGUCAAAUCAUCAUGCCCCUUAUGUUCUGGGCUACACACGUGCUACAAUGGCCGGUACAGACGGACGCAAAGCCGCGAGGUGGAGCAAAUCCUAAAAAGCCGGUCUCAGUUCGGAUUGCAGGCUGCAAUUCGCCUGCAUGAAGUCGGAAUCGCUAGUAAUCGCAGGUCAGCAUACUGCGGUGAAUACGUUCCCGGGCCUU
This 252-nucleotide ribosomal RNA is filed under the name uncultured Bacillus sp. RNAcentral describes it as "partial 16S ribosomal RNA". It matches the Rfam family "Bacterial small subunit ribosomal RNA", at positions 1131 to 1382 of the family's 1533-position model. The record is from RNAcentral. Lineage: Bacteria; Bacillati; Bacillota; Bacilli; Caryophanales; Bacillaceae.